GCUAAAGCAUUGAUAGGAAGUAGUACAUAUAAAUUUCUAGUUUUAGAGAGAAGAUGGUAGGUGAAAAUCUUUACAGAAUUAUAUGGAAGCAGUCCUAGAGUUUUUCUGCUGAAGGCUAAGGUUUAGGCAGAAACGGUUAAACCGUUAUAUUUGUGAGUGACCAUAUGGUAACCAGGGUGGUACCGCGGAGAAUACAGCUUCGUCCCUAUU
RNAcentral lists this non-coding RNA (210 nucleotides) under Clostridium cylindrosporum. RNAcentral's name for it is "T-box sequence". It matches the Rfam family "T-box leader". Rfam says of the family: Uncharged tRNA acts as the effector for transcription antitermination of genes in the T-box leader family. T-boxes are found upstream of many aminoacyl-tRNA synthetase genes and some amino acid biosynthetic genes usually in Gram-positive bacteria. The record is from RNAcentral. Lineage: Bacteria; Bacillati; Bacillota; Clostridia; Eubacteriales; Clostridiaceae.